UCUUGACACCAACACUGCAAGAAAUAUCGUCAGAGCAGCCUUGUAUUCAAAGCCAGAUGGUGAUCAAGUAUUUAAGGAAUAUGAGAAAACAAACUGCCUCUCUGAUACUACAAGAAGAAAGAUGGUAAACAUCCUUGUGGCAGACAUGGUAGAGAGCCAUGGGAACAUUUCUAUGAUCACCAGAGUGGUUCUGGUUACCUGGCAUGGAGACUGAAAACAGUGCAGCGCAACUCUACUGAAAAGAUGAAGAAAUCAGAGAUUUUCAAGACAGCCCCAAGACUCUUCGCGACUUGUGUUCAAAUGCGAGACAGUUGCCAGGUGAUGAAUGCAAGGAAGCUAUGUCACUGAUGAGGCACUCAACUGACAUGAAACUUGUCAAAGAGAAAAUGAAGGUGACAUUUGAACAUAGGCAAAAAGUGAUUCAAGAUCCAGCCACAGCUUCUUCUGUCCUGGACCUUUUCCCAAGAUUUCUGGAUACACCUGGCUUGAUUGACCAAGACUUCACAAUGCUGUUUGGGGAGGAAGUGUCUGGUAAAUUCCUUGCGAAGUGGCCAACAUUCUUCAAGCCAAGAAUCAUCAAAGAUUGCAAGAAUCUGUCUCAGAGUACAGAAUUGGAUGAGCUGCUCGUUUCUUCACAUGGUGACUCUGACGAGGGUGUAUGGGACUGCGAGUUGGCUGCCAUUCUUUUGCUGCUUCACUUGUUACCUCCAACAUCUAAAGGAAGGAAGUCUUCAAAGAUUAGCACAUCAGAUGCUGCUCACAACCUAAUGAAAUUCAUGAAGGUAUGAUUUAGGGCUGUGCGAUAUGACCAAAAUCUCA
Oreochromis aureus is the source of this 819-nucleotide long non-coding RNA. The record is from Ensembl. Lineage: Eukaryota; Metazoa; Chordata; Actinopteri; Cichliformes; Cichlidae.